AUGGCUCAGGAUGAACGCUAGCGACAGGCUUAACACAUGCAAGUCGAGGGGCAGCACAGGUAGCAAUACCGGGUGGCGACCGGCGCACGGGUGAGUAACGCGUAUGCAACUUACCUAUCAGAGGGGGAUAACCCGGCGAAAGUCGGACUAAUACCGCAUGAAGCAGGGGCCCCGCAUGGGGAUAUUUGCUAAAGAUUCAUCGCUGAUAGAUAGGCAUGCGUUCCAUUAGGCAGUUGGCGGGGUAACGGCCCACCAAACCGACGAUGGAUAGGGGUUCUGAGAGGAAGGUCCCCCACAUUGGUACUGAGACACGGACCAAACUCCUACGGGAGGCAGCAGUGAGGAAUAUUGGUCAAUGGCCGAGAGGCUGAACCAGCCAAGUCGCGUGAGGGAUGAAGGUUCUAUGGAUCGUAAACCUCUUUUAUAAGGGAAUAAAGUGCGGGACGUGUCCCGUUUUGUAUGUACCUUAUGAAUAAGGAUCGGCUAACUCCGUGCCAGCAGCCGCGGUAAUACGGAGGAUCCGAGCGUUAUCCGGAUUUAUUGGGUUUAAAGGGUGCGUAGGCGGCCUUUUAAGUCAGCGGUGAAAGUCUGUGGCUCAACCAUAGAAUUGCCGUUGAAACUGGGAGGCUUGAGUAUGUUUGAGGCAGGCGGAAUGCGUGGUGUAGCGGUGAAAUGCAUAGAUAUCACGCAGAACCCCGAUUGCGGAGGCAGCCUGCCAAGUCAUUACUGACGCUGAUGCACGAAAGCGUGGGGAUCAAACAGGAUUAGAUACCCUGGUAGUCCACGCAGUAAACGAUGAUCACUAGCUGUUUGCGAUACACUGUAAGCGGCACAGCGAAAGCGUUAAGUGAUCCACCUGGGGAGUACGCCGGCAACGGUGAAACUCAAAGGAAUUGACGGGGGCCCGCACAAGCGGAGGAACAUGUGGUUUAAUUCGAUGAUACGCGAGGAACCUUACCCGGGUUUGAACGCAUUCGGACCGAGGUGGAAACACCUUUUCUAGCAAUAGCCGUUUGCGAGGUGCUGCAUGGUUGUCGUCAGCUCGUGCCGUGAGGUGUCGGCUUAAGUGCCAUAACGAGCGCAACCCUUGCCACUAGUUACUAACAGGUAAAGCUGAGGACUCUGGUGGGACUGCCAGCGUAAGCUGCGAGGAAGGCGGGGAUGACGUCAAAUCAGCACGGCCCUUACAUCCGGGGCGACACACGUGUUACAAUGGCGUGGACAAAGGGAAGCCACCUGGCGACAGGGAGCGAAUCCCCAAACCACGUCUCAGUUCGGAUCGGAGUCUGCAACCCGACUCCGUGAAGCUGGAUUCGCUAGUAAUCGCGCAUCAGCCAUGGCGCGGUGAAUACGUUCCCGGGCCUUGUACACACCGCCCGUCAAGCCAUGGGAGCCGGGGGUACAAUGAAGUCCGUAACCGCGAGGAUCGGCCUAGGGUAA
RNAcentral lists this ribosomal RNA (1440 nucleotides) under uncultured organism. RNAcentral's name for it is "SSU rRNA". It matches the Rfam family "Bacterial small subunit ribosomal RNA". The record is from RNAcentral.